Carassius carassius (crucian carp) is the source of this 463-nucleotide long non-coding RNA. RefSeq lists it as uncharacterized. Lineage: Eukaryota; Metazoa; Chordata; Actinopteri; Cypriniformes; Cyprinidae. The record is from RefSeq and is a predicted model, not a curated record. The transcript is spliced from 2 exons.
CUUCAAAAUAUUAGCCGAGGCUUUGAGUCAAUUGAAGCAUUAAUUGAAUCCAUUGCUCCGCAAAAUGAUUCACAGUUUCGAAGCGCUCGAAAGACUGAAAAAUACAAAAAUAUAAAAAACAUAAAAACAUAAAAAAUGCAAAAAAUUUCAGUCUAAAAACGAAAUAACAAGAUUAAAGUGUUUCGUUUCGAAACCCGAAGCCUCAUUUUCUGAAAUCACAAGUUCCGAACCACUGAUUCAGAACAAAAGAUUCGAACAAACUGUUUCGAAACUUCAUAUUUAAAGCGCCGAUCAUCGUUGGUCAGCGUGUUUGUCACAAGACUCGUCUGGAGAAAAUAUGUCUGAUUCCUGUGCUGCUUGGUGCUGUAAAAACCACCGCACAAUUCAAACAGAUACUGGGGAAUUACUUUUCAAAAGUUUCCUAAGGAGAAAGGAACCAGUGGCAACCAGGACAACAAGAACC